Molecule: ribosomal RNA, 425 nt
Filed under: uncultured bacterium
Lineage: Bacteria
Description: partial 16S ribosomal RNA
Rfam family: Bacterial small subunit ribosomal RNA
Source: RNAcentral
GUGGGGAAUAUUGGACAAUGGGCGCAAGCCUGAUCCAGCCAUGCCGCGUGAGUGAUGAAGGCCUUAGGGUUGUAAAGCUCUUUCAGUGGGGACGAUAAUGACGGUACCCACAGAAGAAGCCCCGGCUAACUUCGUGCCAGCAGCCGCGGUAAUACGAAGGGGGCUAGCGUUGUUCGGAUUUACUGGGCGUAAAGCGCACGUAGGCGGAUCGUUAAGUCGGGGGUGAAAUCCUGGAGCUCAACUCCAGAACUGCCUUCGAUACUGGCGAUCUUGAGUACGGAAGAGGUGAGUGGAACUCGUAGUGUAGAGGUGGAAUUCGUAGAUAUUAGGAAGAACACCAGUGGCGAAGGCGGCUCACUGGUCCGGUACUGACGCUGAGGUGCGAAAGCGUUGGGAGCAAACAGGAUUAGAAACCCCUGUAGUCC